AUGAUACCUUCCUCUUCUUCGCCGCAUCAUUGCUACAAUUCAUCUCUCUCUUCGUUUCAAUCUAUAAAGACCUCCAGAAACCAUCUUCACCAUAUCGGUGGCAUCGAAGCAUGGCAUCUCCCUAUAAAAAUAAAUUGUACCAUACUCGUUUCCUUGCUAAGAGUCUCGAUUCAGAGUCAAUUUCCCAAAACCAAAACCUUAGGGGUUCUCAAAUCAGAAGAGGGAUAUGUAAACCCUAAACUGGAAUCUAGUCCCAAUCAUUCAAAGAUUCGCGCUAUCAGCGUUUGGAUGAGUGCUUACAAGCCAUAA
This is a non-coding RNA of Vicia faba (fava bean), 309 nucleotides long. NCBI's taxonomy places the organism in Eukaryota, Viridiplantae, Streptophyta, Magnoliopsida, Fabales, Fabaceae. The record is from the annotation of a GenBank genome assembly.